GUCUGAAUUUCAGACAACCUUGUAUUCUUUUGCGAGCUGUUCAGGAUAGCUCGCAAUAGAAUACAAAGGUGUCUGAAAUUCAGAC
Non-coding RNA from Paramuricea clavata, 85 nucleotides. The record is from the annotation of a GenBank genome assembly. NCBI's taxonomy places the organism in Eukaryota, Metazoa, Cnidaria, Anthozoa, Malacalcyonacea, Plexauridae.